GAUGAACGCUGGCGGCGUGCUUAACACAUGCAAGUCGAACGGAAAGGCCCAAGCUUGCUUGGGUACUCGAGUGGCGAACGGGUGAGUAACACGUGGGUGAUCUGCCCUGCACUUCGGGAUAAGCCUGGGAAACUGGGUCUAAUACCGGAUAGGACCACAUUUUGGAUGGUGUGGUGGAGAGUUUUUCGGUGUGGGAUGAGCUCGCGGCCUAUCGGCUUGUUGGUGGGGUAAUGGCCUACCAAGGCGUCGACGGGUAGCCGGCCUGAGAGGGUGUACGGCCACAUUGGGACUGAGAUACGGCCCAGACUCCUACGGGAGGCAGCAGUGGGGAAUAUUGCACAAUGGGCGCAAGCCUGAUGCAGCGACGCCGCGUGGGGGAUGACGGCCUUCGGGUUGUAAACUCCUUUCGCUAGGGACGAAGCGUUAUGUGACGGUACCUGGAGAAGAAGCACCGGCUAACUACGUG
Molecule: ribosomal RNA, 466 nt
Filed under: uncultured bacterium
Lineage: Bacteria
Description: partial 16S ribosomal RNA
Rfam family: Bacterial small subunit ribosomal RNA
Source: RNAcentral